This is a non-coding RNA of Microcebus murinus (gray mouse lemur), 4846 nucleotides long. The record is from RefSeq and is a predicted model, not a curated record. NCBI's taxonomy places the organism in Eukaryota, Metazoa, Chordata, Mammalia, Primates, Cheirogaleidae.
CAGUGAUUGGCUCAAGGGCAAACACGUGAUCAUCCAUGGCGGUCAAAAGCGCCCCAGUGCCCCAAGUCUAGCCUCACCUGCCACCUAGUCCCAAGUGCUGCCUGAGGUGGUUCAACGCCCUGUCUUUAAUCAGUGGCUUUGGCUUUUUAAAAUUUUGAUAACAUGGAUGUGUUCAAAGAUAAGGGCUCUAUCCAUGAUUUCUAGCAGUAUCUGCCACCAGGCUUGACAUCUGUGGUGGACGCCUUCUACUAUGUGACAAGUAUUACAAACUCAUUUCAUCUCCAGAACAACCCUGUGAGGCGCUCCAAGGACGAUAUUUUCAGGCCUGGCACUUGGCAGCCAUCUUGGACCAUGAAGUGGCUGUGAAGAUGGAAGCCAUCCAGAGUGUAGCAGAGACAGGAAAGGUGUGCGGUCCCGGAUGACUUCAUGGAGCUUCCACAUCAGCCACAGACUGUCUCCCCAACUCCAAACCCCCAACUCCACCCCAAUCCAGACCACUCUCAUUGUUUACCAAGAAUAUUCUGGUCUCCCUGCUCCCACCCUCACGCUGACGUGCAGCCAGAGUCUGUUAGCCUCCAAGUCAGGCCGAGUGCCUCCUCUGCUCAGAACCUUCCAGGGACUUCCCAUCUCAGCCGAGUCAGAGCUCAAGACCCCACCAUGCCCCACAAGACCCUAUCUACCUACCUAUCUAUCUAGAUAAUAGAAUAUGAAGAGAAUAUACAAUAGAAUAUAUAUAUAUGUUAUCUGUAUUGUGUGUGUAUAUAUGUACAUAUAUAUACAUAGAAAGAGAGAGAUUGGAGGAAUUGGCUGACACGAUUGCGGGGACAGGCAGCCAGGCAGGGGUUGACGCUGCAGUCUUGAGUCCAAAGGGUGGAAACUCAGGCGUAAUUUCGAGGUCACGCUUUGGAGGCAGAAUUUCUUACUCUUUGAGGGACCUCAACCUUUACUCUUAAGGCCUUCAGCUGACUGCGUGUGGCCCAGCCCCCUCGUGGAGGGUAAUCUGCUUGGCUCAGAGUCUACCAAUUUGAAUUUUAAAUGUUAAUCACAUCUAAAAGAUUAACUUCGCAGCAACAGCAAUCGAGAUGGCGUGUGACCAGACAGAUGGGCACCCUCACCAGCCGAGUCAACACAAGCGAAGCCACGAGGAUGCCCCGUUGCCUGUGCUAGCUGACGUGGGUCCCCGUGGCAGAUGCUGUUUGUCCCUUCCCACGAAGCCCAGGACUUGCAGUGCUCUGCACAUUUCCAACUGCGCCUCUGUGCCUGAGCACGUUUCUUUGGAACCAUGGAAGGCUGUUCCGCCUUUCUGGCAAGCUAGAAAUGCCAAAGAUGCGUCACCCAGAGGGAGUAGCUCUUGACUGUGACUCUCUUAGUUGGUGGAAAAAUACCCCAGGCCCCUUCCCCCCAGCAGGGUGGCUCUGCCUCUUUCCCAGGUAGUGCCCCCCAGGAUCCAGCCCCACUGCCCACGGUGGUCACUUGCUGGACGUUGCUGUGCCUUGGCUGACGUCCCUCUCCUGUCUCGUCUCCCCACUCCCUGACCAGUGUCACUGGACCACCUUCCAAAAAAGCUGCACACCAUUGAAUCCUUGCCCAAAGCCAUCUUCUGGGGGACUCCAGCUUGGAGGCUCCCUCCCCUUUGCCUGUCACUCUGUCACAUGCCUUCCUUCAUCUUAUUACCAUUACAGCUCUUAUCAGACCUCAAAUCAUCUUGUGCCUAGGACUGCUGCCUUCCAGCUGCUCAGUAGAAGGCCAGCUCCAGGAGGGCAGGGACACGCUGCUCCCCUGCUGUGGCUUCAGGUCCAGCACAGAGGACACACGAUCAAUAUUCACUGAAGGAACCAAUGAACAAAGGGACGAAUAGAGGCUCACCCUGGCACCGUGAUUAGAUUCAGCCCCAAACUCACCUGUCCCAUUUUUUCCUGCCACCUCUGAGACGUAAUCUGAAGAUGUGAUUUGUGCCAGUGGGUGAUUUCUUUUUAGGUGAGACAUGCGGAUGUCAACAAGAAAUGUCCAUGCUCGGAAUCCUUUAACCUGGGAAGUCACUCUGGCCAAGAUCAUAAAGUGAUGGUGAUGGGGUGGGAGGGAUGAGGACGAGGAUAAGGAAGGCCUCCUGGAUGCAGUGAGGGGACGGGGUGCUGCCCUGGGACUCAGCACAGGGCCAGGGCCAAGUGCAUGCUCAGCUUCUGCCCCUGGUCCGAUCCUGGGCAAGUCUCUACACCUCCUCCCGAGCCUACAAACCUAUACGUGGGGAUCGUGGGUUCCGACGGUACAAAGUUCUGGUGCUUUGUAAAUUACAAAGUCUUUGCUCACCGAGGGGAUGGACUAUGGGUGCAGGCGGAGGGGUCCUGCCUGUCUCACGUGAGCUGCUUGGGCUGCAAGUAACAGAAAAUACGACUAGAAGUGGAUUGUGUGAUGACGCCAGUGCGCCAGCUCACUUACCACUGUCUGAGCUCACCUGGGUGGCAGGGCUGCUGCCUGGUGUGUCCUCUCUAAGAGGUGGGAAGGACCUGGGCUGCCCUUUUUUCUCUACGGCACCCCCAGAGCACAGAGAAGGCACAGAGAAGGCGUCCAACGAGAAUUCCAUCCGGGUCCUGGCUAACCCUCACAACUGCGUAGUCUUUCAAGUGUGCUCCCCCCCAUAGCAGCUAAAGAAACUAAAGCUCAGAGAAGGUAAAUUGCCUGCUCGAAACCUCAACACAGAGGACAGAGCCCGCGUGCCCUAUGCGGGGCACGGCCACACCCCUGAGCACCCUGCUCCCCGGCUCUCCUCCCAGGGCCUUUUUCUGACCAGGUUAGCCCCUGCCUCCAGGAGCGUGGGGUCGGCCAGCCCCGCCCCAGCCAGCACAGACGACUGCCAGAGACGGAAGUCCACCAACCCCCUCGUUUUGAUCAUUGCACUGAGGACAUAAAUUCAGCAGCAUGUGCUUGGUCAGCUGCCCCAUUUUUCUCCUAAGUAGCAAAUUUAUGGGGCACACAUGCACACGGGUGAUUAUUUCCCAAUAGUUUAUAGUAUCAAGGCUCCUUUAUUUCCCCCCAAUAAAUCUAAUUUAUAUGGAUUGGCAGAUCAAACAGUGCAUUUCCUGGCAUCAGGAGGCCGUGAAUCAUUCGUGACGCUUUAGGAAACUUGGGGAGAUUAAGGUUUUGCAUAAUGCAAAUGGGAAUGGAAACAUAUUUGCUCUGCCUCACUGUGGAUGCAAUUAGAGCAAUGAACACCAGGAGAAAUUCUUUCUCCCAGGACAGAGAAAGGUCUGCUUGGUAUGCAAGAGAGCACAGUUACUUGUGACACUAGAGCCCGGAACAUGGUUAGCAAAGCGCCCAGUGACGGUUUGAUUUGCAGCUUUAAGGAAUUCAAGGAUGAAUAAAACAUUGAAUUAAUUGCCAAAGAACUAUCGCCAGCCUGCAUGAGAUCUAAGCACCCUGGCAAGUGUAACACACACACACACACACACACACACACACACACACGCAAACAUGUGCAAGACACAAAGAAAUAAACGUGUGCAAGACACAAAGAAACAAACCAAGACUGGGCCUCGGGUGUUCAUGCUCCAGAUCCCCGAAACAGCAUUUAGUUUUGGGUAUUUUGUUCUACCUGGAAGUUUCUCUCAUCAAGACUCUGCCUCCCUCGGCCCCACCUCAAGUUCUCCGAGCCAGAAAGCCCUCUCUGCCUGCCCUGGCCUGGGGUGGGGAGGGGUGCUUGUUGGCUGCCUCUGUUCCCUCAUUCAUGGAGCAGAUAGGUGCUGAGCACCUGCUGUGUGCCAGGCACCCACUGUCCCGAGUGCUGGGGACACAGCUGAGAACAGCCUGGUCCACGCUCCCUGCCCUGGCGCUGCCUCCCUGUGGGCGUGAGACAACAAGCAGAACAGAGGCGCUGCUGUAGGGGAAGGUGCCGAGUGCCACCCAGGACACAAAACAGGGAGGGUGGGGGGCACAGAGGAAACGCCAGGAGGUGGGAUCAGCUGCAGGUCUAGGCAGGGGCUUGGGCAGGCCUGAGAUGGUGACAUUCGCAGAGACCCGAGGAGGGCGAGGUAGGAACCACGAGGAACGUUGGGGAGGGGCAAGAGCGUGGGGCAGUCUCACAGGCAGGAGCUCUGGGUGCUGCAGAAACCCAGAGGCCAGAGUGGCUAAGUCUGGGGCAGGGAGAGGGUGAGGAGUCCAGACAAGGAGCAGGGAGGGUCAAGGUCAUAUAAGACCCUUCAUUCGUUCAUUCAUAUAUUCACCUCCUUAUACAUUCAUUCAUACUUUGAGGCCCUACUGUGAAGCAGGGCCUGCCGUGUUAGACACUGGGAAUCUAGCAGGAGACGUGACAGGCAAGGUCCCUGCUCUCAGGAGGCUGUAGCACAGGGUGAGGAAAUCGUGACUGACACAGAGGCGGGAGGUAAGUCACUUUCCUAGGUGGGCAGGAAGCCCAAUCACCACCCAUCUCAGACCCACGAUCCCGGCAGAACUCUCUCCUGUUUGCUCUUGAGUGACUCUGUCACCUCCAUAAGCCCAUUUAGCAGAUGAGAAAACCGAGGCUCCUUAGGGGCAGGGAUCCUGGCUUCUGCUUUUUGGCCUCUCCCCAUACAGUCUGGGAAUUGGGGGAGUGGAAUCAACUCUCUUCUUCCUCUCCCAGGGCUUGGUCAAGGCUUUGGGGAGGUUCAUAGACAAGAAGCAUCUUGUGGCAUCUCCGAUCUGGGAGGGCCACGACCAGACGCUGGGCCUGGGCUGCUGCUCGCCGAGGAGCAGCUGGACUCUGGAAUGGAGAGUGCCCGGCCUGGAAGGGGAGGCCCCAGCUCCCAUCACUGUGGGGGUGAGCGUGAGGGCUCCUGGGACCACGAGCCGGGCCUCCUCCCCUGGCCCCAGUGGG